CCUACGGGAGGCAGCAGUGAGGAAUAUUGGUCAAUGGGAGAGAUCCUGAACCAGCAAAGCCGCGUGAGGGAAGACGGCCCUAUGGGUUGUAAACCUCUUUUGUCGGAGAACAAAAACCGGGACGAGUCCCGGACUGCGUGUAUCCGAAGAAAAAUCAUCGGCUAACUCCGUGCCAGCAGCCGCGGUAAUACGGAGGAUGAGAGCGUUAUCCGGAUUUAUUGGGGGUAAAGGGUGCGUAGGCGGUCUGUUAAGUCAGCGGUAAAAUUGCGGGGCUCAACCCCGUCGAGCCGUUGAAAAUGGGAGAAUUGAGUUGGCGAGAAGUACGCGGAAUGCGCGGUGUAGCGGUGAAAUGCAUAGAUAUCGCGCAGAACACCGAUUGCGAAGGCAGCGUACCGGCGCCAGACUGACGCUGAGGCACGAAAGCGUGGGGAUCGAACAGGAUUAGAUACCCGUGUAGUC
RNAcentral lists this ribosomal RNA (459 nucleotides) under uncultured bacterium. Its description in RNAcentral is "partial 16S ribosomal RNA". It matches the Rfam family "Bacterial small subunit ribosomal RNA", at positions 338 to 795 of the family's 1533-position model. The record is from RNAcentral.